Long non-coding RNA from Oncorhynchus masou masou (cherry salmon), 166 nucleotides. RefSeq lists it as uncharacterized. The record is from RefSeq and is a predicted model, not a curated record. NCBI's taxonomy places the organism in Eukaryota, Metazoa, Chordata, Actinopteri, Salmoniformes, Salmonidae. The transcript has 3 exons.
UGACAGAGAGAUUGCAGAGGCAGGACGGAUCCCCGCCCCCAGCGUCACCCCCAUCAAAGACUCCUGCCAGGAAAAUGACACACACACAGAACCUCUAUACACCGCUGUUGAUGAGUUGGAGAGCCCAGAUUCCAGCAAGCUAGAAGAGUUUGUGGCCCUGUUCACC